RNAcentral lists this ribosomal RNA (200 nucleotides) under uncultured bacterium. RNAcentral's name for it is "partial 16S ribosomal RNA". It matches the Rfam family "Bacterial small subunit ribosomal RNA", at positions 30 to 232 of the family's 1533-position model. The record is from RNAcentral.
AUUGAACGCUGGCGGCAGGCCUAACACAUGCAAGUCGAGCGCGAAAGUUCUUCGGAAUGAGUAAAGCGGCGGAUGGGUGAGUAAUACAUGGGAAUCUGCCUGGUAGUGGGGGACAACGUUUCGAAAGGAACGCUAAUACCGCAUACGCCCUACGGGGGAAAGGGGGGGAGUCGCAAGACCUCUCGCUAUCAGAUGAGCCC